This 738-nucleotide ribosomal RNA is filed under the name Trifolium repens (white clover). RNAcentral describes it as "eukaryotic LSU rRNA". The stretch from base 298 to 453 matches the Rfam family "5.8S ribosomal RNA". Lineage: Eukaryota; Viridiplantae; Streptophyta; Magnoliopsida; Fabales; Fabaceae. The record is from RNAcentral.
UUGGAAGUAAAAGUCGUACCAAGGUUUCCGUAGGUGAACCUGCGGAAGGAUCAUUGUCGAUGCCUUACAUGCAGACCAACACGUGAAUCAGUUUGAACACAUAGGGUUGGUUUGAGGUGUUCAACACCUCGGCUUGCCUCUGGUUCGGAGGAGGACGAUGUUGUGCGUUCUCCUUUGUGCCAAAACACAAACCCCGGCGCUGAAUGCGUCAAGGAAUUUAAAAUUUGCUCUGAGCGCACCUGCAUGGCACCGGAGACGGUUUUCGUGCGGGUUGUGUUCUGACACAUAAUAUAGAAUGACUCUCGGCAACGGAUAUCUAGGCUCUUGCAUCGAUGAAGAACGUAGCGAAAUGCGAUACUUGGUGUGAAUUGCAGAAUCCCGUGAACCAUCGAGUCUUUGAACGCAAGUUGCGCCCGAUGCCAUUAGGUUGAGGGCACGUCUGCCUGGGCGUCACAUAUCGAAGCCUCUCGCCAAUUUCCUAUAUUGAUAGGGGUAUUGUGCAGGGCGAAUGUUGGCCUCCCGUGAGCUUUAUUGCCUCAUGGUUGGUUGAAAAUCGAGACCUUGGUAGGGUGUGCCAUGAUAGGUGGUGGCUGUGUUACGCACGAGACCAAGUAAGUCAUGUGCUGCUCUAUUGAAUUUAGGCCUCUUUUACCCACAUGCGUUUCGAAACGCUCGUGAUGAGACCUCAGGGCAGGCGGGGCUAACCGCUGAAUUUAAGCAUAUCAAUAAGCGGAAGAA